AUCCAACUGACAAGUCCCAAAUAGGACGAAACGCGCGUCAAACUGGAU
Schistosoma curassoni is the source of this 48-nucleotide non-coding RNA. Lineage: Eukaryota; Metazoa; Platyhelminthes; Trematoda; Strigeidida; Schistosomatidae. The record is from Rfam.